Molecule: ribosomal RNA, 1677 nt
Filed under: Triticum aestivum (bread wheat)
Lineage: Eukaryota; Viridiplantae; Streptophyta; Magnoliopsida; Poales; Poaceae
Description: partial small subunit ribosomal RNA
Source: RNAcentral
AUGCUUAUUAUGGAUUCCGGGGAAGCUGGUUCAAAGAAGGAAAGAAAUGAGGAAUAUUCCAUAAACCGUCUCCCGAGAGAGCUCAUUGAGCGGAUAUUUUUUCGGCUUCCGGUGAGCACUUUAUUGGUGUGUAUUGGUGUUUGUACGCGCUGGAAAAACUUGAUCCGGGAUCCCAAUUUUGUCACAUCACACCUGAAGCAUGCAUCCCAUUAUUCCCUCAUAUUCUUCCAACAAGAUUAUGUUGCAGGAAAACAUUACCCGAGUGAUGCUAUUCUAAUUGAUAAAGCUUGGUCACAAUCAACAUAUGCAGUGCCAACCAUUGACCCUGAUGAUUUACUCUGUGGUUCCUGUAAUGGGAUUAUUUGCUUAUACACAAAGACAUCGACAAUCAAGAUAGCUAACCUUGCAACUGGCGAAUGUCUGCAUCUUGAGAAACCUAUAAAGAAUUUGAGUGGCGACCAAUUCUUGUUCUACAGUUUUGGGUUUCACCCUUUGACAAGAGAAUACAAAAUUACACACUUGGGUGACUAUGUUGAGGGCCGCCCCAAGAAUGGAGACAAAUUCACCAUCAUUCAAGUUUACAGGCUUGGUGAUGAGAAAUGGAAAGACAUCAGAACCCCAGAAGCCUUAAGCUUGAGUUGCGUCAAAAACUCUGGACUAAUCAAUGUUGGUGGAACAAUGUAUUGGUUAACUAAUGAUAUGGCAACUAACUGGAAGCAUGUUGUUAUGUGCUUUGAUCUCGGUGAAGAAGCUUUUGCACGGAUAGAACUGCCAACAUCAGUACUUGAAAAUAGUGUUUAUGGUGGUCCCCGUAGGUACUGGAUCAGAGAGAUAGAUGGGAAAAUAUGUAUAGCAACUGCUCAAACCUGGCACAAAGUUAUUUAUGGUAAGUUGCAGAUCUGGACACUUGACAACAAGGUUGAGCAAAGUUGGAGCCAGAAGUACAAUAUUCAUACAGCAGGUUACAUCGCGGGUCCAAAUUUGUCUUAUGGGGAUAAGUUAUUGAUGCAAAGAAAUGAUAGUAGGCUAUUUUCUCAUGAUUUGCAUGGGAAUGAAGGGAAUAUCGAGCCUAUGAUAUUAAACAUGACGAGGUUGUCAGGCUUUAGCCCAGUUUUAGAUUUUAGCCCUCGCAAGCCGGACAAUAUGCAAUCCUACAUAUAUGUGGAGUCACUUGUACGCUUAGAUGUAUACAAAAAAGGCGGCAUUGUGCGUAAGCCAAAAAAGAGGGAAGUUUGGAAAUUUAAGAAGUGGAAGCCUUGCGAGGACGAGCUCUCUCAGCUAGAAGAGAUGUGGAGCCACAUUCAUCAAAAGGAGUAUGACAUAACUGUCUUUUCACAACGAUCUGGCAUACAACUCAAACAUCAUCUGGAAGGUAUAUCAAAUGACGUGAUUCGACAACAAAUAGGCCUGCAAAUUGAUCAAAUCGUUCCAGUCUUUCCAAAUAAGUAUCCAAGAUCCUCCCAACGACUUAAUUUGGUGGGGGAAAAGCGGGACAGAGAAAAGUUACUUGCUCGUAUGAGGAAGUAUGGAGAUAUUUGCAAGGCUAUGAAUAAGGAAAUUGGGUGGAUCGUUCGUAUGACGGAGAUUGCUACACAAUAUAAGGUGGGUCCUUCGAGUUCAAAUGAUGCUAUUUCAUACCAGAAUCACAGUGACGACAAGGAUACAGUUGAGUCUUGA